RNAcentral lists this ribosomal RNA (109 nucleotides) under Bacilli bacterium. Lineage: Bacteria; Bacillati; Bacillota; Bacilli. The record is from RNAcentral.
UCUGGUGGCGAUAGCGCAGUGGACACACCUGUUCCCAUACCGAACACAGAAGUUAAGCACUGUAGUGGCGAAGAUAGUACGUUAGUGCAAAAAUAGCGAGCCGCCGGGC